GACGAACCGUGCGAACGUUAUUCGGAAUCACUGGGCUUAAAGCGCGUGUAGGCGGGCCGCCGCGUCGGCUGCUGAAAUCCCCCGGCUCAACCGGGGAACGGGCACCGAUAUGGGCGGCCUCGAGGGGGGUAGGGGGGACUGGAACUUCCGGUGGAGCGGUGAAAUGCGUUGAGAUCGGAAGGAACGCCCGUGGCGAAAGCGAGUCCCUGGACCCUUUCUGACGCUGAGACGCGAAAGCCAGGGGAGCGAACGGG
Molecule: ribosomal RNA, 254 nt
Filed under: uncultured bacterium
Lineage: Bacteria
Description: partial 16S ribosomal RNA
Rfam family: Bacterial small subunit ribosomal RNA
Source: RNAcentral